Molecule: ribosomal RNA, 603 nt
Filed under: uncultured fungus
Lineage: Eukaryota; Fungi
Description: eukaryotic LSU rRNA
Rfam family: Eukaryotic large subunit ribosomal RNA
Source: RNAcentral
ACCCGCUGAACUUAAGCAUAUCAAUAAGCGGAGGAAAAGAAACCAACAGGGAUUGCCCUAGUAACGGCGAGUGAAGCGGCAACAGCUCAAAUUUGAAAUCUGGCUCUUUUAGAGUCCGAGUUGUAAUUUGCAGAGGGCGCUUUGGCUUUGGCAGCGGUCCAAGUUCCUUGGAACAGGACGUCACAGAGGGUGAGAAUCCCGUACGUGGUCGCUGGCUAUUGCCGUGUAAAGCCCCUUCGACGAGUCGAGUUGUUUGGGAAUGCAGCUCUAAAUGGGAGGUACAUUUCUUCUAAAGCUAAAUAUUGGCCAGAGACCGAUAGCGCACAAGUAGAGUGAUCGAAAGAUGAAAAGCACUUUGGAAAGAGAGUCAAACAGCACGUGAAAUUGUUGAAAGGGAAGCGCUUGCAGCCAGACUUGCUUACAGUUGCUCAUCCGGGCUUUUGCCCGGUGCACUCUUCUGUAGGCAGGCCAGCAUCAGUUUGGGCGGUAGGAUAAAGGUCUCUGUCACGUACCUCUCUUCGGGGAGGCCUUAUAGGGGGGACGACAUACUACCAGCCUGGACUGAGGUCCGCGCAUCUGCUAGGAUGCUGGCGUAAUGGCUGU